GGCUAGUCCGAAGGUGGUGAGUUAUCUCAACUGAUUAUUCAGUUGAGAUAGCAGUUAUUGAUCGAACAGUUACAGUUACAGAUCGAACUCCUUGUUCUACUCUUUCCCCCUUCUCACUACCGUACUUGACUAGUAAAA
Molecule: Y RNA, 138 nt
Filed under: Neogale vison (American mink)
Lineage: Eukaryota; Metazoa; Chordata; Mammalia; Carnivora; Mustelidae
Description: Neovison vison (American mink) Y RNA (ENSNVIG00000012515.1)
Rfam family: Y RNA
About the family: Y RNAs are components of the Ro ribonucleoprotein particle (Ro RNP), in association with Ro60 and La proteins.
Source: Rfam by way of RNAcentral